RNAcentral lists this ribosomal RNA (253 nucleotides) under uncultured bacterium. Its description in RNAcentral is "partial 16S ribosomal RNA". It matches the Rfam family "Bacterial small subunit ribosomal RNA", at positions 524 to 776 of the family's 1533-position model. The record is from RNAcentral.
UACGGGGGGGGCAAGCGUUGUUCGGAAUUACUGGGCGUAAGGGGUUCGUAGGUGGCUUGCUAAGUCAGACGUGAAAUCCCUCAGCUUAACUGGGGAACUGCGUCUGAUACUGGCGAGCUUGAGUGCAGGAGAGGAACGCGGAAUUCCAGGUGUAGCGGUGAAAUGCGUAGAUAUCUGGAGGAACACCGGUGGCGAAGGCGGCGUUCUGGACUGCAACUGACACUGAUGAACGAAAGCCAGGGGAGCAAACGGG